Molecule: transfer RNA, 73 nt
Filed under: Desmophyllum pertusum
Lineage: Eukaryota; Metazoa; Cnidaria; Anthozoa; Scleractinia; Caryophylliidae
Description: Lophelia pertusa tRNA
Rfam family: tRNA
About the family: Transfer RNA (tRNA) molecules are approximately 80 nucleotides in length.
Source: Rfam by way of RNAcentral
GACGCGGUGGCCUAAUGGUUAGCGCGUUGGACUCCGGAUCCUGCGGUCUGGGUUCGAGCCCUGGCCGAGGUCA